Molecule: ribosomal RNA, 1481 nt
Filed under: uncultured Bordetella sp.
Lineage: Bacteria; Pseudomonadati; Pseudomonadota; Betaproteobacteria; Burkholderiales; Alcaligenaceae
Description: partial 16S-23S ribosomal RNA intergenic spacer
Rfam family: Bacterial small subunit ribosomal RNA
Source: RNAcentral
AGUUCGAUCUCUGGCUCAGAUUGAACGCUGGCGGGAUGCUUUACACAUGCAAGCUUGUCUGCAGCACGGACUUCGGUCUGGUGGCGAGUGGCGAACGGGUGAGUAAUGUAUCGGAACGUGCCUAGUAGCGGGGAUAACUACGCGAAAGCGUAGCUAAUACCGCAUACGCCCUUCGGGGAAAGCGGGGGACCUUCGGGCCUCGCACUAUUAGAGCGGCCGAUAUCGGAUUAGCUAGUUGGUGGGGUAACGGCUCACCAAGGCGACGAUCCGUAGCUGGUUUGAGAGGACGACCAGCCACACUGGGACUGAGACACGGCCCAGACUUACGGAGGCAGCAGGGGAAUUUUGGACAAUGGGGGAAACCCCGAUCCAGCCAUCCCGCGUGUGCGAUGUAAAGGCCUUGCUGUAAAGCACUUUUGGCAGGAAGAAACGGCACGGGAUAAUACCCCGUGCAACUGACGGUACCUGCAGAAUAAGCACCGGCUAACUACGUGCCAGCAGCCGCGGUAAUACGUAGGGUGCAGGAAAGCGUUAAUCGGAAUUACUGGGCGGCGUGCGCAGGCGGUUCGGAAAGAAAGAUGUGAAAUCCCAGAGCUUAACUUUGGAACUGUAUUUUUAACUACCGAGCUAGAGGUGUCAGAGGGAGGUGAAUUCCGGCGUGUAGCAGUGAAAUGCGUAGAUAUGCGGAGGAACACCGAUGGCGAAGGCAGCCUCCUGGGAUAACACUGACGCUCAUGCACGAAAGCGGGAGCAAACAGGAUUGAUACCCUGGUAGUCCACGCCCUAAACGAUGUUAACUAGCUGUUGGGGCCUUCGGGCCUUGCAGCGCAGCUAACGCGUGAAGUUGACCGCCUGGGGAGAGUACGGUUGCAAGAUUAAAACUCAAAGGAAUUGACGGGGACCCGCACAAGCGGUGGAUGAUGUGGAUUAAUUCGAUGCAACGCGAAAACCUUACCUACUCCUUGACAUGUCUGGAAUCCCGAAGAGAUUUGGGAGUGCUCGCAAGAGAAAUCCGGAACACAGGUGCUGCAUGGCUGUCGUCAGCUCGUGUCGUGAGAUGUUGGGUUAAGUCCCGCAACGAGCGGCAACCUCCUUGUCAUUAGUUGCUACGAAAGGGCACUCUAAUGAGACUGCCGGUGACAAACCGGAGGAAGGUGGGGAUGACGUCAAGUCCUUCAUGGCCCUUAUGGGUAGGGCUUCAUGACGUCAUACAAUGGUCGGGACAGAGGGUCGCCAACCCGCGAGGGGGAGCCGACCCAGAAACCCGAUCGUAGUCCGGAUCGGCCUUGGCAACUCGACUGCGUGAAGUCGGAAUCGCUAGUAAUCGCGGAUCAGCAUGUCGCGGUGAAUACGUUCCCGGGUCUUGACACACCGCCCGUCACACCAUGGGGAGUGGGUUUUACCAGAAGUAGUUAGCCUAACCGUAAGGAGGGCGAUUACCACGGUAGGAUUCAUGAUUGGGUGAAGUCGUAACAAGGUAA